Molecule: ribosomal RNA, 442 nt
Filed under: uncultured bacterium
Lineage: Bacteria
Description: partial 16S ribosomal RNA
Rfam family: Bacterial small subunit ribosomal RNA
Source: RNAcentral
CCUACGGGAGGCAGCAGUGGGGAAUAUUGGGCAAUGGGCGCAAGCCUGACCCAGCGACGCCGCGUGAGGGAAGACGGUCUUCGGAUUGUAAACCUCUUUCAGCAGGGAAGACAAAAGGACGGUACCUGCAGAAGAAGCCACGGCUAACUACGUGCCAGCAGCCGCGGUAAUACGUAGGUGGCAAGCGUUAUCCGGAAUUACUGGGUGUAAAGGGAGCGUAGGCGGGAUGUCAAGUCAGAAGUGAAAAUUAUGGGCUCAACUCAUAACCUACUUUUGAAACUGAUAUUCUUGAGUGAAGUAGAGGCAAGCGGAAUUCCUAGUGUAGCGGUGAAAUGCGUAGAUAUUAGGAGGAACACCAGUGGCGAAGGCGGCUUGCUGGGCUUUUACUGACGCUGAGGCUCGAAAGCGUGGGGAGCAAACAGGAUUAGAUACCCCUGUAGUC